GUAUGUGUCAAAUUGUGACACUGCAAUAGUUACUACUUGAGUUACUAUAUUAGUGCAAUUAAUUACACAACUAUAUAUAGUAAUUAGUUUCUCAGAUCUAAUAAUCCAGUAUCAACUGAGGGUUUUCGUAAUAGGUACUUAGUGUUGGAUGAAGCUGAUAGGAUGCUGGAUAUGGGAUUUGAACCUCAGAUACGUCGUAUAGUUGAACAAGAUACUAUGCCACCAAAGGGCGUUCGUCACACCAUGAUGUUUAGUGCUACUUUUCCUAAGGAAAUACAGAUGCUUGCUCGUGACUUUUUGGAUGAAUAUAUCUUUUUGGCUGUAGGCAGAGUAGGCUCUACCUCUGAGAACAUCACACAGAAAGUAGUUUGGGUGGAAGACUUAGAUAAACGGUCAUUUCUACUGGACAUUUUAGGUGCAGCAGGGACGGAUUCACUUACUUUAGUGUUUGUGGAGACCAAAAAGGGAGCAGAUUCCCUGGAGGAUUUCUUAUACCAUGAAGGAUAUGCUUGUACUA
Molecule: small RNA, 517 nt
Filed under: Pan troglodytes (chimpanzee)
Lineage: Eukaryota; Metazoa; Chordata; Mammalia; Primates; Hominidae
Description: processed transcript
Source: RNAcentral